Molecule: ribosomal RNA, 301 nt
Filed under: uncultured bacterium
Lineage: Bacteria
Description: partial 16S ribosomal RNA
Rfam family: Bacterial small subunit ribosomal RNA
Source: RNAcentral
CAGCAGCCGCGGGAACACGGAGGGUGCAAGCGUUAUCCGGAUUUAUUGGGUUUAAAGGGUCCGUAGGCGGAUCUGUAAGUCAGUGGUGAAAUCUCACAGCUUAACUGUGAAACUGCCAUUGAUACUGCAGGUCUUGAGUAAAUUUGAAGUGGCUGGAAUAAGUAGUGUAGCGGUGAAAUGCAUAGAUAUUACUUAGAACACCAAUUGCGAAGGCAGGUCACUAAGAUUUAACUGACGCUGAUGGACGAAAGCGUGGGGAGCGAACAGGAUUAGAUACCCGUGUAGUCCCUGUCUCUUAUAC